RNAcentral lists this transfer RNA (64 nucleotides) under Microcondylaea bonellii. Its description in RNAcentral is "Unio bonellii tRNA-Phe". Lineage: Eukaryota; Metazoa; Mollusca; Bivalvia; Unionida; Unionidae. The record is from RNAcentral.
GGAUGAGUAAUUUAAAUACAAAAUAUAACACUGAAAAUGUUAAAAUGGUAUUCACCCUCCCCCA